UGAGUGCGAGCGGCUACGGCCGCGAAGUGGGUGAUGUCAAGCUUCCAAGAAAAGCCCUAUACCCGUUAAGGCAUGAUGGCCUGUACCCGAAACCGACACAGGUGGGGUGGUAGAGAAUACCGAGGGGCGCGAGGUAACUCUCUCUAAGGAACUCGGCAAAAUGGCCCCGUAACUUCGGGAGAAGGGGUGCCACCGCAAGGUGGUCGCAGUGAAGAGGCCCAGGCGACUGUUUACCAAAAACACAGGUCUCCGCUAAGUCGCAAGACGAUGUAUGGGGGCUGACGCCUGCCCAGUGCCGGAAGGUUAAGGAAGCUGGUCAGCGCAAGCGAAGCUGGCGACUGAAGCCCCGGUGAACGGCGGCCGUAACAAUAACGGUCCUAAGGUAGCGAAAUUCCUUGUCGGGUAAGUUCCGACCCGCACGAAAGGCGUAACGAUCUGGGCGCUGUCUCGGAGAGAGGCUCGGCGAAAUAGAAUUGUCUGUGAAGAUGCGGACUACGUGCACCCGGACAGAAAGACCCUAUGAAGCUUUACUGUAGCUUGGUAUUGUGCCCGGGCUCUGAAUGCGCAGGAUAGGUGGGAGGCUUUGAUCCAUGGCUUGCGGGUCAUGGUGAGCCAACGGUGAGAUACCACUCUUUCAGAGCUAGGGUUCUAACGGUCACCCGUCAUCCGGGGACCGGACAGUAUCAGGUUGGCAGUUUGACUGGGGCGGUCGCCUCCUAAAAGGUAACGGAGGCGCGCAAAGGUUUGCUCAGGCUGGUUGGAAAUCAGCCGACGAGUGCAAAAGCAGAAGCAAGCUUGACUGUGAGACCUACAAGUCGAACAGGGACGAAAGUCGGCUUUAGUGAUCCGACGGUUCUGAGUGGAAGGGCCGUCGCUCAACGGAUAAAAGUUACUCUAAGGAUAACGGGCUGAUCUCCCCCAAGAGUUCACAUCGACGGGGAGGUUUGGCACCUCGAUGUCGGCUCAUCGCAACCUGGGGCUGAAGUCGGUCCCAAGGGUUGGGCUGUUCGCCCAUUAAAGCGGUACGCGAGCUGGGUUCAGAACGUCGUGAGACAGUUCGGUCCAUAUCCGGUGCACGCGCAGGAACAUUGAGAGGAUUUCUCCCUAGUACGAGAGGACCGGGAGGAACGCACCUCUGGUGUGCCAGUUAUCGUGCCAACGGUAAACGCUGGGUAGCCAUGUGCGGAGUGGAUAACCGCUGAAAGCAUCUAAGUGGGAAGCCCACCUCAAGAUGAGUGUUCCCAUGGCAUAAGCCAGUAAGGUCACGGGAAGAACACCCGUUGAUAGGCUCUACGAGGAAGCCGGGUAACCGGUGAAGCGGAGGAGUACUAAUAGACCGAGGGCUUGACC
This 1350-nucleotide ribosomal RNA is filed under the name metagenome. RNAcentral describes it as "bacterial LSU rRNA". It matches the Rfam family "Bacterial large subunit ribosomal RNA", at positions 1564 to 2925 of the family's 2925-position model. The record is from RNAcentral.